Molecule: long non-coding RNA, 171 nt
Organism: Gadus morhua (Atlantic cod)
Lineage: Eukaryota; Metazoa; Chordata; Actinopteri; Gadiformes; Gadidae
Exons: 3
Source: RefSeq, a predicted model, not a curated record
GUCCACUCUCCAAGACCCAAUGCUGUCCCUGGGGACCCUGACCCGACCUCAGAGUGGUUACAUAUCGGUUAGAAUUUCAAAAAUCUUGGCCAGUAGCUCGACUAGCCCAAAGGCUACUCGGCUCUGUAAUUCGUAAUGAUGCAACGGCGGACGUGAUUGACGUGCGUCUGU